Molecule: ribosomal RNA, 254 nt
Filed under: uncultured bacterium
Lineage: Bacteria
Also listed under: 1 other name
Description: partial 16S ribosomal RNA
Rfam family: Bacterial small subunit ribosomal RNA
Source: RNAcentral
UACGUAGGGUCCGAGCGUUGUCCGGAUUUAUUGGGCGUAAAGAGCUCGUAGGCGGUUCCGUAAGUCAGAUGUGAAAACUCAGGGCUCAACCCGGAGACGCCAUCUGAUACUGCGGUGACUGGAGUCUGGUAGGGGAUCACGGAAUACCUGGUGUAGCGGUGAAAUGCGCAGAUAUCAGGUGGAACACCGAUGGCGAAGGCAGUGAUCUGGGCCAGUACUGACGCUGAGGAGCGAAAGCGUGGGGAGCAAACAGG